This 1367-nucleotide ribosomal RNA is filed under the name uncultured bacterium. RNAcentral describes it as "partial 16S ribosomal RNA". It matches the Rfam family "Bacterial small subunit ribosomal RNA". The record is from RNAcentral.
CCUUAGAGUUUGAUCCUGGCUCAGGAUGACCUUUGGCGGCGUGCUUAACACAUUCAAGUCGAACGGGCAGUAGCAAUACUGUUAGUGGCGGACGGGUGAGUAACUCGUGAGCAAUCUGCCUAUGUGUGUGGGAUAACGUAUGGAAACAGACGCUAAUACCGCAUGACGCAUUCGGGUCGCAUGGUCUGAAUGCCAAAGAUUUAUUGCACAUAGAUGAGCUCGCGUCCCAUUAGAUAGUUGGUGAGGUAACGGCCCACCAAGUCGACGAUGGGUAGCCGGACUGAGAGGUUGAACGGCCACAUUGGAACUGAGAAACGGUCCAGACUCCUACGGGAGGCAGCAGUGGGGAAUAUUGGGCAAUGGGCGAAAGCCUGACCCAGCGACGCCGCGUGAGGGAAGAAGGUCUUCGGAUUGUAAACUUUUGUUCUUAGUGAAGAAAAAUGACGGUAGCUAAGGAGAAAGCCACGGCUAACUACGUGCCAGCAGCCGCGGUAAUACGUAGGUGGCAAGCGUUGUCCGGAAUUACUGGGUGUAAAGGGAGCGCAGGCGGGACAGCAAGUUGGAUGUGAAAUACCGAGGCUUAACCUCGGAGCUGCAUCCAAAACUGUAGUUCUUGAGUGAAGUAGAGGUAGGCGGAAUUCCGAGUGUAGCGGUGAAAUGCGUAGAUAUUCGGAGGAACACCAGUGGCGAAGGCGGCCUACUGGGCUUUAACUGACGCUGAGGCUCGAAAGUGUGGGGAGCAAACAGGAUUAGAUACCCUGGUAGUCCACAUCUGUAAACGCAUGAUUGCAUAGGUGUGGGGGGGUCUGACCCCCUCCGUGCCGGAGUUAACGCAAUAAGUAAUCCACCUGGGGAGUACGACCGCAAGGUUGAAACUCAAAGGAAUUGACGGGGGCCCGCACAAGCGGAGGAACAUGUGGUUUAAUUCGAUGAUACGCGAGGAACCUUACCCGGGCUCGAACGGCUGGUGAACGAUUCAGAGAUGAAGAGGUCCUUCGGGACGCCAGUCGAGGUGGUGCAUGGUUGUCGUCAGCUCGUGUCGUGAGAUGUUGGGUUAAGUCCCGCAACGAGCGCAACCCUUACCUUUAGUUGCUACGCAAGAGCACUCUAAAGGGACUGCCGUUGACAAAACGGAGGAAGGUGGGGAUGACGUCAAAUCAUCAUGCCCCUUAUGACCUGGGCUACACACGUACUACAAUGGCAAUUAACAAAGAGAAGCGAAAUCGCGAGGUGGAGCAAAUCUCCAAAAAUUGUCCCAGUUCGGAUUGCAGGCUGCAACUCGCCUGCAUGAAGUCGGAAUUGCUAGUAAUCGCGGAUCAGCAUGCCGCGGUGAAUACGUUCCCGGGCCUUGCACUCACCGCCCGUCA